This 237-nucleotide unclassified non-coding RNA is filed under the name fungal sp. RNAcentral describes it as "partial internal transcribed spacer region". The stretch from base 1 to 46 matches the Rfam family "Eukaryotic small subunit ribosomal RNA", at positions 1786 to 1831 of the family's 1831-position model. Lineage: Eukaryota; Fungi. The record is from RNAcentral. RNAcentral also lists the same sequence under 2 other names.
AAGUCGUAACAAGGUCUCCGUUGGUGAACCAGCGGAGGGAUCAUUAUCGAGUUUACAACUCCCAAACCCCAUGUGAACCUUACCAUCACGUUGCUUCGGCGGUCACGCCCCGGCGCCCCCGUGCCCGGAACCAGGCGCCCGCCGGAGGACCCCAAACCAUUGUUGUAUCUAGUGGCAUUGUCUGAGUGGCGUAAAGCAAAUCAAUCAAAACUUUCAACAACGGAUCUCUUGGUUCUG